AACGCACGAGACCUGCGGACCUGCGGAGGGAUCAUUAACACGUAUCCAAAAAUACACCUUAUUCACCCCCUUUUAGUGUCAAUUUGUACUGUCAAACAUCAAAGCCUCAACGCACUGCGCUUCUUUCUUAUGAAUGAAAGUUGUUUGGUUUGGCUCACGCAGUCCGCGGUUUUGAGGGAACAAAUUGUUUUUUUGCUUUUUGUUCUCUUUUUAGUGAUAAUCUCAGAGCAAAAUGAAACA
RNAcentral lists this unclassified non-coding RNA (240 nucleotides) under soil metagenome. RNAcentral's name for it is "partial contains 5.8S ribosomal RNA, internal transcribed spacer 2, and large subunit ribosomal RNA". The record is from RNAcentral.